RNAcentral lists this ribosomal RNA (157 nucleotides) under uncultured Glomeromycotina. Its description in RNAcentral is "5.8S ribosomal RNA". It matches the Rfam family "5.8S ribosomal RNA". From Rfam's summary of the family: 5.8S ribosomal RNA (5.8S rRNA) is a component of the large subunit of the eukaryotic ribosome. It is transcribed by RNA polymerase I as part of the 45S precursor that also contains 18S and 28S rRNA. The record is from RNAcentral. Lineage: Eukaryota; Fungi; Glomeromycota.
UCACUUUCAACAACGGAUCUCUUGGCUCUCGCAUCGAUGAAGAACGUAGCGAAGUGCGAUAAGUAAUGUGAAUUGCAGAAUUCCGUGAGUCAUCGAAUCUUUGAACGCAAAUUGCACUCCCUGGCAUUCCGGGGAGUAUGCCUGUUUGAGGGUCAGU